This 377-nucleotide ribosomal RNA is filed under the name Actinomyces sp. oral taxon 175. RNAcentral's name for it is "bacterial SSU rRNA". It matches the Rfam family "Bacterial small subunit ribosomal RNA", at positions 28 to 395 of the family's 1533-position model. The record is from RNAcentral. Lineage: Bacteria; Bacillati; Actinomycetota; Actinomycetes; Actinomycetales; Actinomycetaceae.
GACGAACGCUGGCGGCGUGCUUAACACAUGCAAGUCGAACGGUGAAGGGACCGGUUUUUGCUGGUUCUGGAUGAGUGGCGAACGGGUGAGUAACACGUGAGUAACCUGCCCCCUUCUUCUGGAUAACCGCAUGAAAGUGUGGCUAAUACGGGAUAUUCUGCGCCUGCUGCAUGGUGGGUGUGGGAAAGAUAUUGUUUCGGUGGGGGAUGGGCUCGCGGCCUAUCAGCUUGUUGGUGGGGUGAUGGCCUACCAAGGCGGUGACGGGUAGCCGGCCUGAGAGGGUGGACGGUCACACUGGGACUGAGACACGGCCCAGACUCCUACGGGAGGCAGCAGUGGGGAAUAUUGCACAAUGGGCGCAAGCCUGAUGCAGCGAC